RNAcentral lists this ribosomal RNA (1024 nucleotides) under uncultured bacterium. RNAcentral's name for it is "bacterial SSU rRNA". It matches the Rfam family "Bacterial small subunit ribosomal RNA", at positions 46 to 1066 of the family's 1533-position model. The record is from RNAcentral.
GCUUACACAUGCAAGUCGUGCGAGAAAGUAUCUUCGGAUAUGAGUAGAGCGGCGGACGGGUGAGUAACGCGUAGGAAUCUACCUAGUAGAAGGGGAUAGCCCGGGGAAACCCGGAUUAAUACCGUAUACCUCCUUCGGGAGAAAGAAGGCCUCUCUUUGAAGCUUUCGCUACUAGAUGAGCCUGCGUAAGAUUAGCUUGUUGGUGAGGUAAAGGCUCACCAAGGCGACGAUCUUUAGCUGGUCUGAGAGGACGAUCAGCCACAUUGGGACUGAGACACGGCCCAGACUCCUACGGGAGGCAGCAGUGGGGAAUAUUGGACAAUGGGCGCAAGCCUGAUCCAGCCAUACCGCGUGUGUGAAGAAGGCCCUAGGGUUGUAAAGCACUUUAAGUUGGGAAGAAAAGUUAUUGGCUAAUACCCAAUGACCGUGACAUUACCAUCAGAAUAAGGACCGGCUAAUUCCGUGCCAGCAGCCGCGGUAAUACGGAAGGUCCAAGCGUUAAUCGGAAUUACUGGGCGUAAAGCGCGCGUAGGUGGUUUAUUAAGUCAGAUGUGAAAGCCCCGGGCUUAACCUGGGAACUGCAUUUGAAACUGGUCAACUAGAGUAUGGUAGAGGAAAGUGGAAUUUCUGGUGUAGCGGUGAAAUGCGUAGAUAUCAGAAGGAACAUCAAUGGCGAAGGCAACUUUCUGGACCAAUACUGACGCUGAGGUACGAAAGCGUGGGUAGCAAACAGGAUUAGAUACCCUGGUAGUCCACGCCGUAAACGAUGAUAACUAGCCGUUGGGGGGGAUUUACCCCUUAGUGGCGAAGCUAACGCGUUAAGUUAUCCGCCUGGGGAGUACGGCCGCAAGGUUAAAACUCAAAGGAAUUGACGGGGACCCGCACAAGCGGUGGAGCAUGUGGUUUAAUUCGAUGCAACGCGAAGAACCUUACCUGGUCUUGACAUCCUGAGAACUUUCUAGAAAUAGAUUGGUGCCUUCGGGACUCAGUGACAGGUGCUGCAUGGCUGUCGUCAGCUCGUGUC